AUAAGGUNCGUAGGUGACCUGCGGAGGAUCAUU
This 33-nucleotide ribosomal RNA is filed under the name Pseudevernia furfuracea. RNAcentral's name for it is "partial 18S ribosomal RNA". Lineage: Eukaryota; Fungi; Ascomycota; Lecanoromycetes; Lecanorales; Parmeliaceae. The record is from RNAcentral.